CCUGUACAUGUGAACAAUGAGUACUUGGGAGAAAAAUAUCAAAAGCUACUCCAGGAAAGAGAUUUAAAUAGGUCUGUACAGAAACUUGCACCCUCAGUGUGAUUACUGGUAUAGUAAACGUGCUGUGAUUGUGGAAAUCCCUGCACCUUAGUUUGCUGAUGGCUGUCAACCAAUCAGAGUCCAGGCUAUUUACAUGGGAAACAGCUAAGGUGCUUGCUGACAUCAUGGACCACUGGCAAUCUUUUCAAGGCUGUUCUAAAGACAUGCACAGUUGAAACGUCUGAAGUUCCUUCACUCCAACCUUUUAAACUGACUUGCUUAAUAACGGUGUGAUGCUAGCAAACCAGGUGCUGACUCUUGCCAAGGCUUUAGGCCUCAGCCAAGCUCUGACAAAUUCAUUGCUAGAAACCAGUCCAGCUCACUUAUUCAUAGAUUCGUAGACUAUAGGACUGGAAGGGACCUUGAGAGGUCAUUGAGUCCAGUCCCCUGCCCUCAUAGCAGGACCAAAUACUGU
Long non-coding RNA from Mauremys mutica (yellowpond turtle), 514 nucleotides. RefSeq lists it as uncharacterized. The transcript is spliced from 3 exons. Lineage: Eukaryota; Metazoa; Chordata; Testudines; Geoemydidae. The record is from RefSeq and is a predicted model, not a curated record.